Molecule: long non-coding RNA, 961 nt
Organism: Chenopodium quinoa (quinoa)
Lineage: Eukaryota; Viridiplantae; Streptophyta; Magnoliopsida; Caryophyllales; Amaranthaceae
Exons: 3
Source: RefSeq, a predicted model, not a curated record
UGGCUGUUAAUUGCGUAGUUUUUAUUUAUUAGGGUUUCCAAGCGGCGAAUUUGUUUUUUUUUUGUUUGUUUUUCUAAUUGUAAUGGUUGGUAUUGAUUUGAGUUUCAAUUCUCUUACUUCCACCGUCCUGAAUUUUCACCUUCUCCAUUCUGGUUAAAGCUAUGUUUUGUUUGAGAUUGUUUUAGUAAUAAAAAGGUGAACUAAAAUCCUGAUUCUUCGGUUGUGCGGAAAUUUUGAGGGGUUUAGUAUUAUUUAGAGCUAGAUUCUUCAAGUUGUGCAGAAUAUGAGGGGUUCAAAUUAUUUAGAGCAAGAUUCUUCAAGUUUUUUUGAAUUCCUCUCUCAGUCCGUCACCUCCGACUGCUGAGCGGCGCCUUUGCGUUAAUUGAUAGCUCCAAUGGCGUUUGGAGGUGUGGGUUUUCAAUUGACAGCAACUAUAAACUCGGAUAAGCAGAGAUAGAUGGCAUUUCCGCUGAAACUAUGUUGUUGUUGUGGAGUAUGAGGGAGAGGCACAACAUUGACUCGAAGUACAAAUUCUACUUCGAUACACUUCCCGAACAGUUUAAUACUGAUGGACAAGGCAGCUCUCCUAGAAAGAGUAGUAGAGCAAGUUAAGGAGCUAAAGAGAAAAAAUGAAAGUUAGCUCUGGUCCUGGUUCCAAGAAUUUCACAGGUUUCUGCCUUUUUUUUUUCUACAAAUAUUUUCUAUUUCUGGGGGUAAUUCCUCAUGUAGAUAUGUUCAUAUGUAUUAUCAAGUUUCUUUUGCUGGUGCCAUUUGUUUCUGUAGCAGAGUAUUUUCUCUCAGUUUGCCUUGUCCUUCUAUGUUUUCCAAUUAGAACUUAGCUGAGGUCUUUUGAGAAUAUACUCUCCAUUUUAGCUGAUGGCUAUUGCAUGUAAAGUAAGCUUUUGUAGCUAUGCUAACCUUGAUAAUCGUGCACUAAUAAAUGAUACAAUUUGUUCCUUAA